This 621-nucleotide ribosomal RNA is filed under the name Triticum aestivum (bread wheat). Its description in RNAcentral is "partial small subunit ribosomal RNA". Lineage: Eukaryota; Viridiplantae; Streptophyta; Magnoliopsida; Poales; Poaceae. The record is from RNAcentral.
AUGAGGGGAACAGCAAACACAAAUGCCACAGCCUCUACCCGACCUAGGGCACCACCAGCAGGCUUUGCCAAAAUCCAUGUCGAUGCCGGAGUUGCACGGCACAACAGGGGAGGAAUAGCGGCGGCAAUCUGCAGGGAUGAUAGUGGCAAUUACCUGGGCAGCUCAGCUUUGGUAAUCCCAGGAGUGUGUGAUGUGGCGACUUUGGAAGCUCUCGCUUGCCGGGAAGCACUCGCGCUCGCUGAAGAUCUGCAUAUUCAUCAGUUUAUCAUAGCUUCAGAUUCAAGAGAAGUGAUCAAUGACAUAAACAAAAGCUACAGAGGGAAGAAUGGUGCGAUCAUCUCAGAGAUUAACCUCCGAGCUUCUGGUUUCAAUUGUUCUUUUACUUUCGAAGGCCGGCAGUCGAACGACGAUGCCCAUAGAAUAGCUAGAUUAUCACUUUACAGCAGGGGCGCCAUCUUUGGCUUGUUUAUCCCCAUGCGAAUUGUAUUCCACAAACUGUGGCUUUUGAUCAAUAAAGUUUGGUCUUACCCCUCAAAAAGUGAUAUAUAUCAAUUAUCCCUUGUUGGACGCUUCCUAUUUGGCGCUUCAGACACCCCAGUGUUUUUGCAAAUGGACACCUGA